Long non-coding RNA from Talpa occidentalis (Iberian mole), 1066 nucleotides. RefSeq lists it as uncharacterized. The transcript has 3 exons. Lineage: Eukaryota; Metazoa; Chordata; Mammalia; Eulipotyphla; Talpidae. The record is from RefSeq and is a predicted model, not a curated record.
ACACAAAAAGGGAAGGUUCCCCUUUAAACAAUAAUGCUCUUACGAACCUAUUUUUUUUUGCAUCAUAAUAGCCAUUUCAUCCCUGCCUGCAUCACCAGAUGGGGAGUGCUGAUGUCAGGCUACCUCAAGGCUCAGCGCUGUGGUAGGAGUGGCCCAGCCUCCAGGGCAGGGCGUUUAUUGAGCACCUACACUCUGCCAGGCAUCGGAGCACAGAUAAAGGAUGGCCCCUGUGCUGGCAGAGCGCAAAUCCAGGAUGAGGAAUAUGAGGGAUGAGGUGAAUUCAAAGAAAAACAAAUUAAUGCGUCGCUGGCUCCUGGGGGAAGAACUGACCUCCUCCUGAGGACAGGGUGGAGAACCUGGCAGCUGAUCAGUGAACGCACAUAGGAGGUUGACAGCGCAGGAUCCCGUUGCCAUAAAUGGAAGCAGUGUUUGGAGAGUUGUUUUUGCCGUGUCUCCUGGACUUAAAUGGAACUGUACUCUGGUGCAGAGAUGGACAGAAGAGAGGAGACUAGAAGAGAGCAGAGGAGUGGGUGUCUCCGUUGGGAGCAGGCCGCCAGUCCAUGCACUGGGGUUCCAAGUUCAAAUAUGCUUGCAGCAAAGUUUCAGUUCAGCUUUUUCUCUAUGCACAAUGAAGCUGUUGUGUGUCCAGAAGCUCGGAGAAUGCAGCUGGAUUUCUAGGACUCAAUGGCCAGUGUCUUUUUGAUCCUCCUCUUUUGGAGAUACACCCCGCAGGACACAUUGGUUCUGGAGAGUAAGAUACCAGCCAGUUGUUGCUGUAAAGGCUAGAAGACAGAAGCAUAUCCUAGCCGGAGUUCUCAGCCCACACGGGCCGCUGGGAGCCGCUGGGAGCCGCUGAGCGAUCGGCGAGUCAUGGCUCCCAGUAGACCAAGCAACGCUUUGCCCUUCAGAUGUGUCCUGCCACAGACGGCCAUUUAAAGGGGUUAAGUUCCUGGACUGCUGGGUGCUUUUGCUGCGUUAGUUUAAUUUUGUAAGCUGCCCUGUAUAGGAAUGUGUUGAAUAAAUGCCCAUCUGAUUUCAAAAGCCCAGAGGGAUUUCUGUGCUUACU